GUGGGGAAUAUUGGACAAUGGGCGAAAGCCUGAUCCAGCCAUGCCGCGUGUGUGAAGAAGGUCUUCGGAUUGUAAAGCACUUUAAGUUGGGAGGAAGGGCAGUAAGUUAAUACCUUGCUGUUUUGACGUUACCGACAGAAUAAGCACCGGCUAACUUCGUGCCAGCAGCCGCGGUAAUACGAAGGGUGCAAGCGUUAAUCGGAAUUACUGGGCGUAAAGCGCGCGUAGGUGGUUUUGUAAGUUGGAGGUGAAAUCCCCGGGCUCAACCUGGGAACUGCCUCCAAAACUGCAUGACUAGAGUACGGUAGAGGGUAGUGGAAUUUCCUGUGUAGCGGUGAAAUGUGUAGAUAUAGGAAGGAACACCAGUGGCGAAGGCGACUACCUGGACUGAUACUGACACUGAGGUGCGAAAGCGUGGGGAGCAAACAGGAUUAGAAACCCUGGUAGUCC
This 450-nucleotide ribosomal RNA is filed under the name uncultured bacterium. RNAcentral's name for it is "partial 16S ribosomal RNA". It matches the Rfam family "Bacterial small subunit ribosomal RNA", at positions 354 to 796 of the family's 1533-position model. The record is from RNAcentral.